RNAcentral lists this long non-coding RNA (400 nucleotides) under Triticum aestivum (bread wheat). RNAcentral's name for it is "long non-coding RNA (TAES_LNC008482)". The record is from RNAcentral. Lineage: Eukaryota; Viridiplantae; Streptophyta; Magnoliopsida; Poales; Poaceae.
GGGUGGCUAGUGCCGCUACCUGGAGAAGGAUCGUGCGAUGCGUUUCUGGAGUUAAGCUGCAACAAAGAUCAUUUUCAAUGUCUCGUUAGCAUUACGACACUCAAAUGUUGAGACUACCAACUAAUGUCCAUUCAAACUAAACUCACCGUGCUCCCAGGAGCAAUCACUGGCAUCGGCGGAGCGGGCUGACCGGACUUCUCGCACACAGACUGCACAUUUGGUUUUCAGAACAGAGUCAUACUAGUUAGUAAUGAGACUCAAAUGUUAAGACUAGCAAGUAAUCUGCAGAAGAAACUUACCACAAGGAGCUCGUACAUGGCCCUUGCCUGCAUGUCAUUCCUUGCCCUCUCCUCCUCCAUCAUCUUUCUCGUCCUCUCCUCCAUCUCCCGCUGCCUCUCCG